AGGUCCCAUUCUCCUUAAAACUCUGAUUUAUCAUCUGAGCUUCAUGUCCAAAACACUUCCUCAAAGUCACUUGGACGUCUACUCAACCAGGUCUCUGCUUUAAUCUCAAUCUCAGUGGACACAUCUCAGGAAACUCAUUCCCCCAACAGGGGACUCAAACCCAUGACCCCAACUUCAAGAGUCGCAUACUAUACCGAUUGAGCCAGCCAGGUGCCCAAAGGGGCACACAAGUCUUACAGAGAUUGAAACGGCCAGUGAAUGAAGACAAGCAACGAUGAAGAAGCUCCAGAGAAGAAAACAGCCAGAAACAUGGACUCUCUUAGUCCCUUACAAGGGCUUAUGUAUUAGACUUUACUAAUUCCAGGAUCUAGUUCUAGCCCUAGAAUACAGAUACCUUAUUAUACCUGAGUCUCCUAUCUAUGGACAAAAUGGCAUCGCUUUCAAACCAUUUGAUGACAAAAUUUGCUUUAAAGCAUUAUAGCUAAUUAGCUUUGUACGUAGUAAGAAUAUCUACAGGGGUCAGCAAAUUUUUUUUUUAUAUAAAGAGCUAGAUAGUAAAUAUUUUAAGCUUUGCGGGCCUUAUGGUCUCUGUCACAAAUGAUGAACUCUGCCAUUUUUGCAAAAGAGCACACACACACACACACACACACACACAUACCCCACAUACACACCACGAGCUAUUAUCAUUUUAGGCUUUAAAAAAAUGGUUUAACUGCAGAAUGCCUUUAUUCCUUGCUGGUAUGUUGUUGCUUCUUUAAAAGUUAAUGAGUAUUCAGCACCCCUAUGACUACAUGCAUGAUCUUCC
Molecule: long non-coding RNA, 805 nt
Filed under: Mustela putorius furo (domestic ferret)
Lineage: Eukaryota; Metazoa; Chordata; Mammalia; Carnivora; Mustelidae
Description: lncRNA (ENSMPUG00000026984.1)
Source: RNAcentral